Molecule: long non-coding RNA, 403 nt
Organism: Poecilia latipinna (sailfin molly)
Lineage: Eukaryota; Metazoa; Chordata; Actinopteri; Cyprinodontiformes; Poeciliidae
Exons: 2
Source: RefSeq, a predicted model, not a curated record
UCUCUAACCGUUUCUUGUAGACUACAGUACCGGUUUUUGAUCUGUCUCUUCAGUAUUUUCCAGUGGUUUCAUAGUCCUUGUGUUUGCCGUCUCUAGGUCAGUCUCUGGAUUUUUCCAGCUGGAUCGGUUCCAUUGUUUUCUCCUCCUGUGGAUCUUACCUGCAAGUCUGCCUGCCCGCUGCUCCCUCCACACCACUCCAUCGAUUCUCUGGCUCCCAGUCAUCACCGUCCUCACGCUCGUCUCAGGAACCUCUGAGAACCAUUCUCCACACUGGACCUUGGGCACAUUCCCCCACGCUUCAGCCAGAACCAUUCUAAAGCACCUCCGAUUGCACAACACAACUGCUCCCGGAAGGAUCAAGGAGAAUUGUCUAUUUUUCAAGAAAAUAAAACCCUUACCUUUA